Acanthosepion pharaonis is the source of this 109-nucleotide non-coding RNA. The record is from the annotation of a GenBank genome assembly. Lineage: Eukaryota; Metazoa; Mollusca; Cephalopoda; Sepiida; Sepiidae.
UAUGACCAUAUCAGUUUGAAGCAUCGGUUCUCGUAAGAACACCGUUAAGCAACGUCGGACCUGGCCAGUACCUAGAUGUGUGACUGCUUAGGAAUACCAGGUGCUGUAA